ACGCUCGACACCUAUGGGAGGCAGCAGUGGGGAAUAUUGCACAAUGGGGGAAACCCUGAUGCAGCGACGCCGCGUGGAGGAAGAAGGUCUUCGGAUUGUAAACUCCUGUUGUUGGGGAAAAAGAGGAUGGUACCCAACAAGGAAGUGACGGCUAACUACGUGCUAGCAGCCGCGGUAAUCUGAGCGGGCUGGCAAGGC
RNAcentral lists this ribosomal RNA (198 nucleotides) under uncultured bacterium. RNAcentral's name for it is "partial 16S ribosomal RNA". It matches the Rfam family "Bacterial small subunit ribosomal RNA", at positions 328 to 539 of the family's 1533-position model. The record is from RNAcentral.